RNAcentral lists this ribosomal RNA (531 nucleotides) under uncultured bacterium. Its description in RNAcentral is "partial 16S ribosomal RNA". It matches the Rfam family "Bacterial small subunit ribosomal RNA", at positions 355 to 900 of the family's 1533-position model. The record is from RNAcentral.
UGGGGAAUGAUUGCACAAUGGGCGAAAGCCUGAUGCAGCAACGCCGCGUGAGUGAUGAAGGCCUUCGGGUUGUAAAGCUCUGUCUUUUGGGACGAUAAUGACGGUACCAAAGGAGGAAGCCACGGCUAACUACGUGCCAGCAGCCGCGGUAAUACGUAGGUGGCAAGCGUUGUCCGGAUUUACUGGGCGUAAAGGAUGCGUAGGCGGAUUUUUAAGUGAGAUGUGAAAACCCUAAGCUUAACUUGGGACUGCAUUUCAUACUGGAAACCCUAGAGUGCGGGAGAGGAGAAUGGAAUUCCUAGUGUAGCGGUGAAAUGCGUAGAGAUUAGGAAGAACACCAGUGGCGAAGGCGAUUCUCUGGACCGUAACUGACGCUGAGGCAUGAAAGCGUGGGUAGCAAACAGGAUUAGAUACCCUGGUAGUCCACGCCGUAAACGAUGAGUACUAGGUGUAGGAGGUAUCGACCCCUUCUGUGCCGCAGUUAACACAAUAAGUACUCCGCCUGGGAAGUACGAUCGCAAGAUUAAAAAC